UAAGUAGAUCCCAUAGAGAUAAAUCAAGAGUCAUGAGAUUUGAAUGUUCACCAAAAGGAUAAGAUACGAUAGUACUCUUCUCAGCGAAAAGGCAGAUAGCAUUAACACCUGCCCCACUGUCGAUUACAUCCUUGCUGCAUGCACAGAAUAGCAAGGAACCAACAGGAGCAUCUCAUGGGCGUUUACUUAAUAAAAUAAACAAGUACUAGUUGCUUCACUAACUAGCAGAUAUCACGAAUUCUACACUGCUAGUGCUCCCAUGGUGAGAAAAGAAGGAAAUAUCCAUCAGUGCUACUCUGUCGUUGGCUGUAACAUGCAAGUAUCAGGAAAGGAAGUGGCCACGUUUGCUGCAUGAGGUUCAAUCCAAGAAAAUUUGAGAGCAAUCACUUGGAAAGAAAAGAAAAACAGAGCAAGAGGGUCAACCUUGUUCUUUGGGGAAUCAUGGUGCGUGGGGCGGACGACCUCGCUGUCGAACUCGUCCAGCUCGUCGGGCUCGAGCGUGGGGUCCCGUUCGUCCUUCCAUGGAACUUGAGAGGCAGAGAGCUUCUGUUGAUCUGAAUCGACUCAAAAAA
This 572-nucleotide long non-coding RNA is filed under the name Triticum aestivum (bread wheat). RNAcentral's name for it is "long non-coding RNA (TAES_LNC008159)". Lineage: Eukaryota; Viridiplantae; Streptophyta; Magnoliopsida; Poales; Poaceae. The record is from RNAcentral.